GAUGAACGCUGGCGGCGUGCCUAAUACAUGCAAGUCGAGCGAACGGACGAGAAGCUUGCUUCUCUGAUGUUAGCGGCGGACGGGUGAGUAACACGUGGAUAACCUACCUAUAAGACUGGGAUAACUUCGGGAAACCGGAGCUAAUACCGGAUAAUAUUUUGAACCGCAUGGUUCAAAAGUGAAAGACGGUCUUGCUGUCACUUAUAGAUGGAUCCGCGCUGCAUUAGCUAGUUGGUAAGGUAACGGCUUACCAAGGCAACGAUGCAUAGCCGACCUGAGAGGGUGAUCGGCCACACUGGAUCUGAGACACGGUCCAGACUCCUACGGGAGGCAGCAGUAGGGAAUCUUCCGCAAUGGGCGAAAGCCUGACGGAGCAACGCCGCGUGAGUGAUGAAGGUCUUCGGAUCGUAAAACUCUGUUAUUAGGAAAGAACAUAUGUGUAAGUAACUGUGCACAUCUUGACGGUACCUAAUCAGAAAGCCACGGCUAACUUCGUG
RNAcentral lists this ribosomal RNA (497 nucleotides) under uncultured bacterium. Its description in RNAcentral is "partial 16S ribosomal RNA". It matches the Rfam family "Bacterial small subunit ribosomal RNA", at positions 28 to 507 of the family's 1533-position model. The record is from RNAcentral.